GGGGAAUUAGCUCAAAUGGUAGAGUGCUUGCUUUGCAUGUGGGAGGUAGUGGGAUUGAUGCCUGCAUUCUCCA
Molecule: non-coding RNA, 73 nt
Organism: Poecilia formosa (Amazon molly)
Lineage: Eukaryota; Metazoa; Chordata; Actinopteri; Cyprinodontiformes; Poeciliidae
Source: Rfam